CAGUAGCCACGGUAAUACGGAGGGUGCAAGCGUUAAUCGGAAUUACUGGGCGUAAAGCGCACGCAGGCGGUCUGUCAAGUCGGAUGUGAAAUCCCCGGGCUCAACCUGGGAACUGCAUUCGAAACUGGCAGGCUAGAGUCUUGUAGAGGGGGGUAGAAUUCCAGGUGUAGCGGUGAAAUGCGUAGAGAUCUGGAGGAAUACCGGUGGCGAAGGCGGCCCCCUGGACAAAGACUGACGCUCAGGUGCGAAAGCGUGGGGAGCAAACAGGAUUAGAUACCCCAGUAGUCCCUGUCUCUUAUAC
Molecule: ribosomal RNA, 301 nt
Filed under: uncultured bacterium
Lineage: Bacteria
Description: partial 16S ribosomal RNA
Rfam family: Bacterial small subunit ribosomal RNA
Source: RNAcentral